UGGGGAAUAUUGGACAAUGGGCGCAAGCCUGAUCCAGCCAUGCCGCGUGAGUGAUGAAGGCCUUAGGGUUGUAAAGCUCUUUCGCCGACGAAGAUAAUGACGGUAGUCGGAGAAGAAGCCCCGGCUAACUUCGUGCCAGCAGCCGCGGUAAUACGAAGGGGGCUAGCGUUGUUCGGAAUCACUGGGCGUAAAGCGCACGUAGGCGGAUUGUUAAAGUCAGGGGUGAAAAGCCUGGAGCUCAACUCCAGAACUGCCCUUGAUACUGGCAAAUCUCGAGUCCGGAAGAGGUAAGUGGAACUGCGAGUGUAGAGGUGAAAAUUCGUAGAUAUUCGCAAGAAACACCAGUGGCGAAGGCGGCUUACUGGUCCGGUACUGACGCUGAGGUGCGAAAAGCGUGGGGAGCAAAACAGGAUUAGAUACCCUGGUAGUCCACGCCGUAAAACGAUGGAGGCUAGCCGUUGGCGAGCAUGCUCGUCAGUGGCGCAGCUAACGCAUUAAGCCUCCCGCCUGGGGAGUACGGUCGCAAGAUUAAAAACUUAAAAUGAAUUGACGGGGGU
Molecule: ribosomal RNA, 557 nt
Filed under: uncultured bacterium
Lineage: Bacteria
Description: partial 16S ribosomal RNA
Rfam family: Bacterial small subunit ribosomal RNA
Source: RNAcentral